Long non-coding RNA from Ctenocephalides felis (cat flea), 663 nucleotides. RefSeq lists it as uncharacterized. The transcript is spliced from 3 exons. The record is from RefSeq and is a predicted model, not a curated record. Lineage: Eukaryota; Metazoa; Arthropoda; Insecta; Siphonaptera; Pulicidae.
AAAUUCACAACAAUAAUGGAAAUUAGAUAUUAUAUAUGUAUAUAUUGAUUUAUACAUCAUUAGACGUGUACUAGCUGCCUUGGUUUGUUUGGAAAUUGGAUAUAUAAAUGUCCUUAUAACUUAUGAAAAAAAAAACAAGGAACAUAAACAAUUUAACACAAACAUGAUAUAUUGAUGAAUUAUGCAAUGGUAUACCGGUACCUUCUAUUUCUAAACAGAAAAACAAGAUUGAUGAAUUAGAAGAUCACAGCUUCGACCAUCAACAUUGUCCAGAGCAACAUGCCUAUUCAGAUUUCCUGACUCCUAAGUAUCUUUUGAGUUGUGAAUCAUACAAUGGAGCACCUUCAACGCAGACUUUUGGAAUACCUCUGGGAUAUUUGGACUUGACCCGGCCCCAUUGCCACUUUUUUCUCUACCUAGUUUGUUUAGGCAGACAAACCUAGGUUUGUUAAGGUUGAUUUGAAAUAAUCUGUCGACAGCUUGCAGAGGCAACAAACUACAGAAAAGGAUGAACAAUAUUACACAUCUGAGCUUGAAUAUUAUAAUGAUGUACAAAGGGAGUUGAAGCAAACAAAGAGAUCUUUGUUCCUUUGAGAAGUAGUUAGGCGAGAGUGUAAAUGUUUAAAGAAUUGUUAUUUGUAUAUUUUAUAUUGACCCUUUAGA